GAUGAACGCUGGCGGCGUGCCUAAUACAUGCAAGUCGAGCGAACAGACGAGGAGCUUGCUCCUCUGACGUUAGCGGCGGACGGGUGAGUAACACGUGGAUAACCUACCUAUAAGACUGGGAUAACUUCGGGAAACCGGAGCUAAUACCGGAUAAUAUAUUGAACCGCAUGGUUCAAUAGUGAAAGACGGUUUUGCUGUCACUUAUAGAUGGAUCCGCGCCGCAUUAGGUAGUUGGUAAGGUAACGGCUUACCAAGGCAACGAUGCGUAGCCGACCUGAGAGGGUGGUCGGCCACACUGGAACUGAGACACGGUCCAGACUCCUACGGGAGGCAGCAGUAGGGAAUCUUCCGCAAUGGGCGAAAGCCUGACGGAGCAACGCCGCGUGAGUGAUGAAGGUCUUCGGAUCGUAAAACUCUGUUAUUAGGGAAGAACAAAUGUGUAAGUAACUAUGCACGUCUUGACGGUACCUAAUCAGAAAGCCACGGCUAACUACGUG
This 497-nucleotide ribosomal RNA is filed under the name uncultured bacterium. Its description in RNAcentral is "partial 16S ribosomal RNA". It matches the Rfam family "Bacterial small subunit ribosomal RNA", at positions 28 to 507 of the family's 1533-position model. The record is from RNAcentral.